CACCUGCCGGCGACCGGCGCACGGGUGAGUAACACGUAUGGAACCUGCCCGCCACAGGGGGAUAACCCGGGGAAACCCGGCCUAAUACCCCAUGCCGCCCGGACCGGGCAUCUGGUCCGGGCGAAAGGAGGAAUCCGGUGGCGGCUGGGCAUGCGGCGCAUUAGCUUGACGGCGGGGUAACGGCCCACCGUGGCGACGAUGCGUAGGGGUUCUGAGAGGAAGGCCCCCCACACUGGAACUGAGACACGGUCCAGACUCCUACGGGAGGCAGCAG
This 274-nucleotide ribosomal RNA is filed under the name uncultured bacterium. RNAcentral's name for it is "partial 16S ribosomal RNA". It matches the Rfam family "Bacterial small subunit ribosomal RNA", at positions 81 to 354 of the family's 1533-position model. The record is from RNAcentral.